This 502-nucleotide ribosomal RNA is filed under the name uncultured bacterium. Its description in RNAcentral is "partial 16S ribosomal RNA". It matches the Rfam family "Bacterial small subunit ribosomal RNA", at positions 28 to 523 of the family's 1533-position model. The record is from RNAcentral.
GAUGAACGCUAGCGGCAGGCUUAAUACAUGCAAGUCGAGGGGCAGCGCAGUGUAGCAAUACAUGGGCGGCGACCGGCAAACGGGUGCGGAACACGUACGCAACCUUCCUUUAAGUGGGGGAUAGCCCAGGGAAACUUGGAUUAAUACCCCGUAAUAUUAUGAAGUGGCAUCACUUUAUACUUAUAGCUCCGGCGCUUAAAGAUGGGCGUGCGACUGAUUAGGUAGUUGGCGGGGUAACGGCCCACCAAGCCUGCGAUCAGUAACUGGUGUGAGAGCACGACCAGUCACACGGGCACUGAGACACGGGCCCGACUCCUACGGGAGGCAGCAGUAAGGAAUAUUGGUCAAUGGACGCAAGUCUGAACCAGCCAUGCCGCGUGGAGGAUGAAGGUCCUCCGGAUUGUAAACUUCUUUUAUUUGGGAAGAAACCCACUGUUUCUACGGUGGUUGACGGUACCAGAUGAAUAAGCACCGGCUAACUCCGUGCCAGCCGCCGCAGUAA